RNAcentral lists this transfer RNA (71 nucleotides) under Paracoccus yeei. Its description in RNAcentral is "tRNA-Pro". Lineage: Bacteria; Pseudomonadati; Pseudomonadota; Alphaproteobacteria; Rhodobacterales; Paracoccaceae. The record is from RNAcentral.
CGGGAAAUCAACGCUGUUUGGACGGUUUUGGGUACCGUAGGCCGGAGGUUCGAAUCCUCUCGCCCCGACCA